GGGAGGAGCAGGGGUUGAUCCUGGGGGGAUCCCAGAUCCCGGAGGAUCCCGGGAAAAGCAGGGAUUGGUUCAGGGGGGGAUCCCAAAAACCCCAGAUCCCAGGAGGAUCAGGGGUUGAUCCAGGGCAGAUCCCAAAUCUGGGAGGAGCAGGGAUUGGUUCAGGGCGGAUCCCAGGAGGACCCCGGGCGGAUCCCAGAGGAUCCCGGGCGGAUCCCGGGUGGAUCAGAGGUUGUUUCAGGGCGGAUCCCAGAUCCAGGUGGAUCCCGGAGGAUCCCAGGAGGACCCCGGGAAGAUCCCAGAGGAUCCCGGGCAGAUCCCGGGUGGAUCAGGGGUUGUUUCAGGGCGGAUCCCAGAUCUGGGCAGAUCCCGGAGGAUCCCAGGAGGAUCCUGGGAGGAUCCCGGGAGCAGCAGGGAUUGGUUCAGGGCGGAUCCCAGGAGAACCCCGGGCAGAUCCUGGGUGGAUCCCGGGUGGAUCAGGGGUUGUUUCAGGGCGGAUCCCAGAUCCGGGCAGAUCCCGGAGGAUCCCAGGAGGAUCCUGGGAGGAUCCCGGGAGCAGCAGGGAUUGGUUCAGGGUGGAUUCCGGCGGAUACAGGCGGAUCCCAGAGAAUCCCAGGUGGAUCAGGGGUUGGUUCAGGGUGGAUCCCAGAUCCAGGGAGCAGCAGGGAUUGGUUCAGGGCGGAUCCCAGGAGGACCCUGGGCGGAUCCCAGAGGAUCCCGGGCAGAUCCCGGGUGGAUCAGAGGUUGGUUCAGGGCGGAUCCCAGGUCCAGGGAGCAGCAGGGAUUGGUUCAGGGUGGAUUCCGGCGGAUCCCGGGCGGAUCCCAGAGGAUCCCGGGUGGAUCAGGGGUUGUUUCAGGGCGGAUCCCAGAUCCAGGUGGAUCCCGGAGGAUCCCAGGAGGACCCCGGGAAGAUCCCAGAGGAUCCCGGGCGGAUCCCGGGUGGAUCAGGGGUUGUUUCAGGGCGGAUCCCAGAUCCGGGCAGAUCCCGGAGGAUCCCAGGAGGAUCCUGGGAGGAUCCAGGGAGCAGCAGGAAUUGGUUCAGGGUGGAUACAGGCGGAUCCCGGGCGGAUCCCGGAGGAUCCCGGGUGGAUCAGGGGUUGUUUCAGGGUGGAUCCCAGAGGAUCCCGGGUGGAUCAGGGGUUGUUUCAGGGCGGAUCCCAGAGGAUCCCGGGUGGAUCCCGGGUGGAUCAGGGGUUGUUUCAGGGUGGAUCCCAGAUCCCAGGCGGAUCCCGGAUCCCAGAGGAUCCCGG
This 1247-nucleotide long non-coding RNA is filed under the name Parus major (Great Tit). RNAcentral's name for it is "lncRNA (ENSPMJG00000003181.1)". Lineage: Eukaryota; Metazoa; Chordata; Aves; Passeriformes; Paridae. The record is from RNAcentral.